RNAcentral lists this long non-coding RNA (307 nucleotides) under Vitis vinifera (wine grape). RNAcentral describes it as "long non-coding RNA (VVIN_LNC004423)". The record is from RNAcentral. Lineage: Eukaryota; Viridiplantae; Streptophyta; Magnoliopsida; Vitales; Vitaceae.
UUCCUGUAGCGUCAAUCCUAUCCUCUGCCUUCUACACAAUUUUCAAUCUGUUUGCGGGGUUUCUGAUUCCUCAACCGGUAAGCUACUAAUCUCCACUUGGAAAGCCUGCAAAAAUGAAAAACCCUUUUAAGUCUGUUCUUUCUAAUUUCAUUUAGUAAUGUGAAUCUGCAACUGACCUGGCCAUGCUGUUCUUUGCUUCUUGCAGCAAGUUCCUAAAUGGUGGCUUUGGUUGUUUUAUCUGACUCCUACAUCUUGGUCAAUAACCGGUAUGCUUACUUCACAGUAUGGCGACAUCCACAAGGACAUU